Molecule: ribosomal RNA, 387 nt
Filed under: uncultured bacterium
Lineage: Bacteria
Description: bacterial SSU rRNA
Rfam family: Bacterial small subunit ribosomal RNA
Source: RNAcentral
GACGAACGCUGGCGGCGUGCUUAACACAUGCAAGUCGAGCGGCAAGGCCCUUUCGGGGGUACACGAGCGGCGAACGGGUGAGUAACACGUGGGUGACCUGCCUUUAGCUCUGGGAUAAGCCUGGGAAACCGGGUCUAAUACCGGAUAUGACUCCGCGGCGCAUGUUGUGGGGUGGAAAGCCUUGUGCGGCUGGAGAUGGGCCCGCGGCCUAUCAGCUUGUUGGUGGGGUGAUGGCCUACCAAGGCGACGACGGGUAGCCGGCCUGAGAGGGCGACCGGCCACACUGGGACUGAGACACGGCCCAGACUCCUACGGGAGGCAGCAGUGGGGAAUCUUGCGCAAUGGCGAAAGCCUGACGCAGCGACGCCGCGUGAGGGAUGACGGCCU